GUGGGGAAUAUUGCACAAUGGGCGAAAGCCUGAUGCAGCAACGCCGCGUGAGGGACGACGGCCUUCGGGUUGUAAACCUCUUUUAGUAGGGAAGAAGCGAAAGUGACGGUACCUGCAGAAAAAGCACCGGCUAACUACGUGCCAGCAGCCGCGGUAAUACGUAGUGUGCAAGCGUUAUCCGGAAUUAUUGGGCGUAAAGAGCUCGUAGGCGGUCUGUCGCGUCUGCUUUGAAAACUGGAGGCUCAACCUCCAGCCUGCAGUGGGUACGGGAAGACUAGAGUGCGGUAGGGGAGAGUGGAAUUCCUGGUGUAGCGGUGGAAUGCGCAGAUAUCAGGAGGAACACCGAUGGCGAAGGCAGAUCUCUGGGCCGUAACUGACGCUGAGGAGCGAAAGCGUGGGGAGCGAACAGGAUUAGAAACCCUUGUAGUCC
Molecule: ribosomal RNA, 430 nt
Filed under: uncultured bacterium
Lineage: Bacteria
Description: partial 16S ribosomal RNA
Rfam family: Bacterial small subunit ribosomal RNA
Source: RNAcentral